This 253-nucleotide ribosomal RNA is filed under the name uncultured bacterium. RNAcentral describes it as "partial 16S ribosomal RNA". It matches the Rfam family "Bacterial small subunit ribosomal RNA", at positions 524 to 776 of the family's 1533-position model. The record is from RNAcentral.
UACAGAGGGUGCGAGCGUUGUCCGGAAUCACUGGGCGUAAAGGGCGCGUAGGCGGCCUGAUAAGUAGGGGGUGAAAUCCUGUGGCUCAACUGCAGGGCUGCCUCCUAGACUGUCGGGCUUGAGCACGGUAGAGGCAGAUGGAAUUCCCGGUGUAGCGGUGGAAUGCGUAGAGAUCGGGAAGAACAUCGGUGGCGAAGGCGGUCUGCUAGGCCGCAACUGACACUCAUGGACGAAAGCUAGGGGAGCGAAUGGG